Molecule: transfer RNA, 74 nt
Filed under: Methanobacteriota archaeon
Lineage: Archaea; Methanobacteriati; Methanobacteriota
Also listed under: 2 other names
Description: Euryarchaeota archaeon (groundwater metagenome) tRNA-Glu
Rfam family: tRNA
About the family: Transfer RNA (tRNA) molecules are approximately 80 nucleotides in length. Their secondary structure includes four short double-helical elements and three loops (D, anti-codon, and T loops). Further hydrogen bonds mediate the characteristic L-shaped molecular structure. tRNAs have two regions of fundamental functional importance: the anti-codon, which is responsible for specific mRNA codon recognition, and the 3' end, to which the tRNAs corresponding amino acid is attached (by aminoacyl-tRNA synthetases). tRNAs cope with the degeneracy of the genetic code in two manners: having more than one tRNA (with a specific anti-codon) for a particular amino acid; and 'wobble' base-pairing, i.e. permitting non-standard base-pairing at the 3rd anti-codon position.
Source: RNAcentral
GCUCCGAUAGUGUAGUCGGCCAAUCAUUCUGGCCUUUCAAGCCAGUGACUCGGGUUCAAAUCCCGAUCGGAGCA